Molecule: unclassified non-coding RNA, 602 nt
Filed under: Hevea brasiliensis (rubber tree)
Lineage: Eukaryota; Viridiplantae; Streptophyta; Magnoliopsida; Malpighiales; Euphorbiaceae
Source: RNAcentral
GGGCAGGAAAGAUUUCAGAGUCUUGGUGUGGCUUUUUACCGUGGUGCUGAUUGUUGUGUUCUCGUUUAUGAUGUUAAUGUCCAGAAAUCAUUUGACAACCUGAACAAUUGGAGAGAAGAAUUUCUGAUUCAGGCUAGCCCGUCUGAUCCAGAAAACUUCCCAUUCAUAGUUUUAGGAAACAAGAUAGAUGUUGACGGUGGUAAUGGCCGGGUGGUCUCAGAAAAGAAGGCAAGGGCAUGGUGUGCGUCAAAGGGGAAUAUUCCGUACUUUGAGACAUCUGCUAAAGAGGGAAUUAACGUUGAAGCUGCUUUCCAGUGUAUAGCUAUGAAUGCUCUCAAGAAUGAACCAGAAGAAGAAAUAUACCUUCCGGACACUGUUGAUGUGUCGGGUGGGCGGCCACAGAGAUCCUCUGGUUGUGAAUGCUAAAUGGAUGCACUAUACACCUGCAGUUUCGGCAGCGAUUUGGUAUGCAGUAGCACUCUGUAUCUUAUAUCCCAAAAUUUAUUCGUUCUAGCUGUCUGGUGGGAUAUAACUUCAAGUAGCUUUUUACCCUCAAACUAAUUCAUUUGUGCCAGGAUAAUGAAUUGUUGUGCAGUUCUUGC